UUAAAGGUUAAAAGGCUGACGUAACGUGCAAUAAAUACAUGCAUGCACUUCUAUCGAUUUAUUAUAGCUUAAUAACCACUUUAAAAAUUAAUUUUGCUCGUUUAUAUGCUCAAAUACGUCCGAUAUUGUCAUAUAUAGGUAGAUCAUACGCCUUCAAAUACGCCCAUAUCCUCCUCGUUUGGACCCUCGAGGCUUUGCCAUAGCUGCAGGGAUCGUAAUUGCUCGAGGAGGGAUUCGCUACACCCUCUCGUGGUAAGGGGCUCUAUCCCGCGCAAUGGGCUAAACGUAACCAUGAUUUACGACUUUGUGGUCGAUAAGGACCGCUAUGAAUGCGAGAACAUUGGCGGUAUAAUGUUUUCCAGGCUGAUGGUACUUCACUACGGAAAACCAUUUAUCGCCCUUGUAUCUACAAGAUUCUGUACAAGAACAUAUAAGAGCUUACAGAAACUUGAACUGAGGAAACAUCAGUAUAUAGAAUUUAUCGAGAGAGCGAAGUUGCUUCACUGGCAUAAGAUAUUACAAAAACAAUAUUGUAUGUACACAUACAUAUUUCAAUAUUGUAUUUUCACACAUGCAUCCGAGCGAGCUCAGUAUAUGUUGGAGCCUUGUUACACGCUUUAUUUCA
Long non-coding RNA from Wasmannia auropunctata (little fire ant), 625 nucleotides. RefSeq lists it as uncharacterized. NCBI's taxonomy places the organism in Eukaryota, Metazoa, Arthropoda, Insecta, Hymenoptera, Formicidae. The transcript has 3 exons. The record is from RefSeq and is a predicted model, not a curated record.